GCCGGUGUAGCUCGGGUAGUCAGAGCACGUCAUUGGUAAUGACGAGGCCGUGGGUGCAAGUCCCUCCACCGGCUCCA
This 77-nucleotide transfer RNA is filed under the name Minisyncoccota bacterium. Its description in RNAcentral is "tRNA-Thr". It matches the Rfam family "tRNA". Rfam says of the family: Transfer RNA (tRNA) molecules are approximately 80 nucleotides in length. Their secondary structure includes four short double-helical elements and three loops (D, anti-codon, and T loops). The record is from RNAcentral. Lineage: Bacteria; Bacillati; Minisyncoccota. RNAcentral also lists the same sequence under 2 other names.